CAGCAGCGCGGUAAUACGAAGGGGGCUAGCGUUGUUCGGAUUUACUGGGCGUAAAGGGCGCGUAGGCGGACUGAUAAGUCAGGGGUGAAAUCCCAAGGCUCAACCUUGGAACUGCCUUUGAUACUGUUUGUCUUGAGUUCGAGAGAGGUAAGUGGAACUGCGAGUGUAGAGGUGAAAUUCGUAGAUAUUCGCAAGAACACCAGUGGCGAAGGCGGCUUACUGGCUCGAAACUGACGCUGAGGCGCGAAAGCGUGGGGAGCAAACAGGAUUAGAUACCCCAGUAGUCCCUGUCUCUUAUACA
RNAcentral lists this ribosomal RNA (301 nucleotides) under uncultured bacterium. RNAcentral's name for it is "partial 16S ribosomal RNA". It matches the Rfam family "Bacterial small subunit ribosomal RNA", at positions 509 to 808 of the family's 1533-position model. The record is from RNAcentral.